AUUGAACGCUGGCGGCAGGCCUAACACAUGCAAGUCGAGCGGAUGAAGGGAGCUUGCUCCUGGAUACAGCGGCGGACGGGUGAGUAAUGCCUAGGAAUCUGCCUGGUAGUGGGGGAUAACGUCCGGAAACGGGCGCUAAUACCGCAUACGUCCUGAGGGCGAAAGGGGGGGAUCUUCGGACCUCACGCUAUCAGAUGAGCCUAGGUCGGAUUAGCUAGUUGGUGGGGUAAAGGCCUACCAAGGCGACGAUCCGUAACUGGUCUGAGAGGAUGAUCAGUCACACUGGAACUGAGACACGGUCCAGACUCCUACGGGAGGCAGCAGUGGGGAAUAUUGGACAAUGGGCGAAAGCCUGAUCCAGCCAUGCCGCGUGUGUGAAGAAGGUCUUCGGAUUGUAAAGCACUUUAAGUUGGGAGGAAGGGCAGUAAGUUAAUACCUUGCUGUUUUGACGUUACCAACAGAAUAAGCACCGGCUAACUUCGUG
This 484-nucleotide ribosomal RNA is filed under the name uncultured bacterium. RNAcentral's name for it is "partial 16S ribosomal RNA". It matches the Rfam family "Bacterial small subunit ribosomal RNA", at positions 30 to 507 of the family's 1533-position model. The record is from RNAcentral.